Molecule: RNA transcript, 5148 nt
Organism: Lepus europaeus (European hare)
Lineage: Eukaryota; Metazoa; Chordata; Mammalia; Lagomorpha; Leporidae
Gene: SRCIN1
Gene name: SRC kinase signaling inhibitor 1
Exons: 20
Source: RefSeq, a predicted model, not a curated record
CCUCCUCCUCCAGCCCUGGCCCUGCCACCCGAGUUACUGCAGCUGGACGUUGAUCUCGAAAGGGCAUUUGGGACCUUGCCCCUGAGCUGGGCAUGUGGCUAGCUCAGGGGCAGGCCUGGGGCAGGCAGGAAGGUGGAAGAGCCCAGAUGAAGGCUGCAAGCAGGUAGAUCAGGAAGUGGAGAAACCGGUUUGUGUUUCGGACUACUGGGGUGGGGUCUCCUCUGCUGGGCUCCCUGCCUGCCAGCCUACCGCGAAGAGAUGCGCCGUGCCCCUUCCUCGCUCACCUGCACUGACUUGGGGAACGCCAACGGUAAUGAAAGGGGCAGCCGGAUCAGCCCACCUUGUACUCCCCCCGGAGAGGCUUGGAAAAGAAGGGACCGGCCUGCGAGCCGGAGAGAGGGAAGGAGGCGGCGUCCGGAGCCUGAGGAGGGGUCAGCGCGGCUCUGGGCCAGAGCCAACAGAUCCGGAGCGGAGCAGCCCCCCCAUGCUGUCUGCGGACGAUGCCGAGUACCCGCGGGAGUACCGGACCCUGGGGGGUGGGGGCGGCGGGGGCGGCGGGGGCCGGCGCUUCUCCAACGUGGGGCUGGUGCACACCUCCGAGCGCCGGCACACGGUGAUCGCCGCCCAGAGCCUGGAGGCGCUCAGCGGGCUGCAGAAGGCGGACGCUGACCGAAAGCGCGAUGCCUUCAUGGACCACCUGAAGAGCAAGUACCCGCAGCACGCCCUGGCCCUGCGAGGCCAGCAGGACAGGAUGCGGGAGCAGGUUGGCAGCUGGACCGUGGACCCCGUCUGCCUCCUCAGCUCCCUCUGCUCCCACCUCCAUGGCGACUCCGCCCCCUCCGGGGCUGGCCAGCCGGCCCAGCAGCCAAACUACUGGAGUUUCAAGACCCGCAGCUCACGUCACACUCAGGGAGCCCAGCCGGGGCUGGCAGACCAGGCGGCCAAGCUGUCCUACGCCUCGGCUGAGUCGCUGGAGACCAUGUCGGAGGCCGAGCUGCCCCUGGGUUUCAGCAGGAUGAACCGCUUCCGACAGAGCCUGCCGCUCUCGCGCUCGGCCAGCCAGACCAAGCUGCGCUCGCCAGGGGUGCUGUUCCUGCAGUUUGGGGAGGAGACUCGGCGCGUGCACAUCACGCACGAGGUCAGCAGCCUGGACACACUGCACGCCCUCAUCGCGCACAUGUUCCCGCAGAAGCUCACCAUGGGCAUGCUUAAGUCGCCCAACACCGCCAUCCUCAUCAAAGACGAAGCUCGAAACGUCUUCUACGAGCUGGAGGACGUCCGGGACAUCCAGGACCGCAGUAUUAUCAAGAUCUACAGGAAGGAGCCACUCUACGCCGCCUUCCCCGGCUCACACCUCACCAACGGCGACCUCCGGAGAGAGAUGGCGUACGCGUCGCGGGAGUCGUCGCCCACGCGGCGCCUCAACAACUUGUCGCCGGCCCCGCACCUGGCAUCCGGCUCGCCGCCGCCCGGGCUGCCGUCGGGGCUGCCGUCGGGCUCGCCGUCGCGCUCGCGCCUCUCGUACGCCGGGGGGCGCCCGCCCUCGUACGCCGGCAGCCCGGUGCACCACGCGGCCGAGCGGCUCGGGGGCGCCUCGGCGGCCCAGGGCGUGAGCCCCAGCCCCAGCGCCAUCCUGGAGCGGCGGGACGUGAAGCCGGACGAGGACCUGGCGGGCAAGGCGGGCGGCAUGGUGCUGGUCAAGGGCGAGGGCCUCUACGCCGACCCCUACGGGCUGCUGCACGAGGGCCGCCUGAGCCUGGCCGCGGCCGCCGGCGACCCGUUCGCCUACCCGGGCGCGGGCGGCCUGUACAAGCGCGGCUCGGUGCGCUCGCUCAGCACCUACUCGGCCGCCGCGCUGCAGUCCGACCUGGAGGACUCGCUGUACAAGGCGGCGGGCGGCGGCGGCCCGCUCUAUGGCGACGGCUACGGCUUCCGCCUGCCGCCCUCGUCGCCGCAGAAGCUGGCUGACGUGGCGGCGCCGCCCGGGGGACCCCCGCCGCCACACAGCCCCUACUCGGGGCCGCCCAGCCGCGGCUCGCCGGUGCGCCAAUCCUUCCGCAAAGACUCGGGCUCCUCGUCCGUCUUCGCCGAGAGCCCGGGAGGGAAGACCCGCAGCGCGGGGAGUGCUUCGACGGCCGGAGCGCCCCCUCCGGAGCUCUUCCCCGGGCCCGGGGAGCGCUCCCUCGUUGGGUUCGGGCCGCCGGUGCCAGCCAAGGACACGGAGACCAGGGAGCGCAUGGAGGCCAUGGAGAAGCAGAUUGCCAGCCUCACAGGCCUGGUGCAGAGCGCCCUACUUCGAGGCUCUGAGCCCGAGACCCCCAGUGAGAAGAUUGAAGGCUCCAACGGAGCGGCCACCCCCUCAGCCCCCUGCGGGUCAGGCAGCCGGAGCAGCGGGGCCACGCCGGUGUCCGGCCCUCCCGCGCCGCCGGCCAGCAGUACCCCUGCAGGGCAGCCCACGGCCCUCAGCCGCCUGCAGAUGCAGCUGCACCUGCGUGGCCUGCAGAGCAGCACCAGCGACCUGCGCGGCCAGCUUCAGCAGUUGCGCAUGCUCCAGCUGCAGAACCAGGAGUCGGUGCGCGCGCUGCUGAAGCGCACGGAGGCGGAGCUGAGCAUGCGCGUGUCGGAGGCGGCGCGGCGGCAGGAGGACCCGCUGCAGCGGCAGCGCACCCUGGUGGAGGAGGAGCGGCUGCGCUACCUCAACGACGAGGAGCUCAUUACCCAGCAGCUCAAUGACCUGGAGAAGUCGGUGGAGAAGAUCCAAAGGGACAUGGCGCACAGCCACCGGCUGGUGCCCGGCCCCGAGCUGGAGGAGAAGGCGCUGGUGCUGAAGCAGCUCGGGGAGACGCUGACGGAGCUCAAGGCUCACUUCCCGGGCCUGCAGAGCAAGAUGCGGGUGGUGCUGCGCGUGGAGGUGGAGGCGGUGAAGUUCCUGAAGGAGGAGCCGCAGCGCCUGGACGGGCUCCUCAAGCGCUGCCGCGGGGUCACCGACACGCUGGCCCAGAUCCGGAGGCAAGUGGACGAGGGUGUGUGGCCACCCCCCAACAACCUCCUGAAUCAGUCUCCCAAGAAGGUGACGGCCGAGACGGACUUCAACAAGGCCUUGGACUUCGAAAUGCCACCCCCUAGUCCCCCGCUGAACCUGCACGAGCUGAGUGGACCGGCUGAGGGCGCUCCUCUCACCCCCAAGGCGAGCAACCCCACCAAGGGCCUGGAGACCCCUGGCAGGAGGAGCAUGGACAAGGCAGUGUCUGUGGAGGCUGCUGAGAGAGACUGGGAGGAGAAGCGGGCAGCCCUGACCCAGUACAGCGCCAAGGACAUCAACCGGCUGCUGGAGGAGACGCAGGCCGAGCUGCUCAAGGCCAUCCCCGACCUGGACUGCGCCAGCAAGGCCCACCCCAGCCCGGCCCAGACCCCGGACCACAAGCCCCCCAAAGCUCCCCACGGCCAGAAGGCAGCGCCCCGAGCGGAGCCCAGCGGGAGGAGGGGCUCAGAUGAGCUGACAGUGCCCAGAUACCGCACCGAGAAGCCCUCCAAGUCGCCCCCGCCGCCCCCUCCCCGCCGCAGCUUCCCCUCCUCCCACGGCCUGACCACCACCCGCACCGGGGAGGUGGUGGUCACCAGCAAGAAGGACUCGGCCUUCAUCAAGAAGGCGGAGUCCGAGGAGCUGGAGGUGCAGAAGCCGCAGGUGAAGCUGCGCCGCGCCGUGUCCGAGGUGGCCCGCCCGGCCUCCACGCCGCCCAUCAUGGCGUCCGCCAUCAAGGACGAGGACGACGAGGACCGCAUCAUCGCGGAGCUGGAGGUGUUUGAGAGAAGCUCAGUGUCUUCCCUCCCCCCCACGCCCCGCCGCCAGCCGAUCCCCAUCCUGCUGUCCCCCCAGGACCUGGGGCCCCCCAGGGGCUCAGCCCCGGGCCCCACACGGAAGGUAACGGGGCUGCCCACCUCUCACGGCUCUCUCUCUCUGCCUGCGCCACCUCACCUCUCACGCUAACCCGACACGGCACCAGCCAAGCCCCAGGCCCUGCACUGCCACGCGGUACUCACGCGGACUCACCCCUCCUGGACCUGGGGCACAGCCCGCCUUCCCGGCGCCUCCCAGGUGGGCUUUCCUGGACACGCCAGCAGCCUGGGCAUCUGGCAACCCCUUGCGUCUGCCUUAUCCCACAGAUGUGAAUCCCAGUCUGGCUGGUAUUUAGUCUGUGGCCUCGGUUUAGGUCUGGCCUGAGCCCGAGUGUCGGCCAAGGUCGAGGUUUGGAUCUGGCUCACAAGCUGCCUUGGGGUCCAACUCAAAGUCCGACUUUGUCCUGAUGCCAUUGUCCCACUAGCAUCUCCACCUUGCACUGGGGGUUAGGAUGCCCCGCCCCGGGGUUGGGGACAACUCAUCUGCAGCCUCCCCCACCCAUCUUGCCCCCUGGUCAGGGAGCUUGGAAUGAAGAAGCCAAGUCUCUCCUUGGCUGCUGGUUCUGUCUGUCAGCACUGGGAAGUUCUUCCUUAUCUCUAACUUCACUCCUUGCUGCUGUCUUGCUGCACUGAUUUCCUCUUGGUUUUUCCUUGGGAAUUUGGGGGUGGGCCUGCUAUCUGCCCCCGCUGCGGACUGUGCUUGGGGCCUGGGGAGGAGGCUGGGGAGAGGCCGGGAUGGGGCAGGAGAGCCUCUGCUCCAAGCAGGGAACCCCCCACCCCUGCACACACACUUCACCUGCUGUGUCCGGUUCUCCCGGCCCUCAGGGGGCCGCACGCUGACCGCCACCUGAUUUCCGGCCUGGCUGGAGGCCUGGUGGUGCCCUGGCGGGGUGGGGGUAGGGGGCACAGUGCAGUCUGCUGGGCAGGGGGCAGCACAGAGACGUCUGAGGAGCCCUCUGGGGAGGAGCCCCGUGGAAGGGGCACCCCCUGAGCUGCUUGUGCGCCGGGUGCCCCGUCCCUGGCCCUGUCUGGCUCUGGGAGCUGGCCCCCGUCUGGACUUGGGGGCCUGACCGACCCUCUGCAUCCCGAGGCGCAGUCAGGCCAUGGAGCCAGGCGAGCAUGGGGCGCCUUCCCAGGCUCCCAGUCCGCACCCCCCGCUGCCAGGCUGCCACAGGACCCAGGGCCUUCCGUGUCCCUCGGAUCACCUUGACGGAGUGUGCCCCCAGCACUCCCUCCCCACCAGAAGCCAGG